CGGGUGUGGUGUGGUCCUCUUCUGAGACAGGAUUUGUAGCCGUGUCGAGUCCGUGCAGCUGUAGUGGUGUUCCGCUGCUGCAUGGUCUAGUUUCAUGAGCAAUAAAUAGGAUGUUACGUGGGCAGUUUUGGUGACUGUGUUAAUGAAGAAAGAGAAAAAGGGGCCUGUUCGCUUCAGAUUAUUCAGCCGGCUUAUCAGUCACCAAACAGUAUUUUUCUCUCACAACAAAUCAGCCGUUUCAGCUUUUCAGCCGGCUUGUAAGCUGAAGCGACCCAGAUCGUUUCAUCGUGAUGAAGCGAGGACUCCCCAGUUACCGAGACCUUUGAAACGGAAUGACACCCGCACGGAGGGGCUUGAGUUUCAUCCCGACGCGGCGGCGGAGAUCUCCCGCGGCACGCGCGCUUCUUCUGCCGAUCUCCCGCGCCGAGCUGCCUUUCCUGCCGGUCUCCCCACGAUCCCCUCCAAUAUCCCCGUCAUAUAUGGAUUCCAUUGCAGUCUUGCUUCCCUCCUCCCUUCCAAUCUCGCCUCCCUCCCUCGUUAUUCCAAAUCUUGUAGGCCGGCGGCUCUGCUAGCUUGCUGCGGCGUCACCUCCUCACCGGCGUAGCAGCGGAGUCUGAUGGCGGGCAGAUAGAAGAAGGACGGCCCCGUGGUGGGCGGAAUCCGGAGCUGGGAUCCAUGGAGGUCAAUCCUCUUCUCCAAAUCCAUGGAAAUAGAAAGAUGGAAGGCUUGAGAAGAUACAAGGCUAGAGAAGGUGUAAGGCUUGAGAAAAGAUGGAAGGCAGUGGGGUGUAAAUUUUUCAUUAUAUUAGUUUGGCCAUUUAUCUUAAUACUUCAAUUUAUCGUGUGAACUGAAUUUUGGGCACUUCAAUAUAUCAGGUGGCACUUUAUGUUAUUUUUGUGAGUUAUCAGUGGGCACUUCAAUUUGUCAUGUGAACUGAAAUAUAUCUUAAAUUCGUGCUUUA
Molecule: long non-coding RNA, 961 nt
Organism: Setaria italica (foxtail millet)
Lineage: Eukaryota; Viridiplantae; Streptophyta; Magnoliopsida; Poales; Poaceae
Exons: 2
Source: RefSeq, a predicted model, not a curated record